AACGAACGCUGGCGGCAGGCUUAACACAUGCAAGUCGAACGACCCGUUCGGGGCGUGGCAGACGGGUGAGUAUAGCGUGGGAAACUCCCCCUCCCUACGGGAUAUCGCUUGCCAACAUGUGCUAAUAUCCUAUACGCUCUCCUGGGGAAAGAUUUAUCGGGGAUGGAUGAGCCCGCGUUGGAUUAGCUAGUUGGUGGGGUAAAGGCCUACCAAGGCGACGAUCCAUAGCUGGUCUGAGAGGAUGAUCAGCCACAUUGGGACUGAGACACGGCCCAAACUCCUACGGGAGGCAGCAGUGGGGAAUAUUGGACAAUGGGCGCAAGCCUGAUCCAGCCAUGCCGCGUGAGUGAUGAAGGCCUUAGGGUUGUAAAGCUCUUUCACCGGAGAAGAUAAUGACGGUACCCGGAGAAUAAGCCCCGGCUAACUUCGUG
Molecule: ribosomal RNA, 431 nt
Filed under: uncultured bacterium
Lineage: Bacteria
Description: partial 16S ribosomal RNA
Rfam family: Bacterial small subunit ribosomal RNA
Source: RNAcentral